This is a long non-coding RNA of Populus euphratica (Euphrates poplar), 292 nucleotides long. RefSeq lists it as uncharacterized. The transcript has 3 exons. The record is from RefSeq and is a predicted model, not a curated record. NCBI's taxonomy places the organism in Eukaryota, Viridiplantae, Streptophyta, Magnoliopsida, Malpighiales, Salicaceae.
UCUCACCCAGUGCUUCUUCAGGAGCCAUUCUUUGUACCUCCUUUUCCCAAACCAAGCCUCUGAGACAACACUGUAAUUUCCCUUUCGUCUCCACCAAAGCGGAAACAAUAUAAUACCAACUUUUCUUGUUUACCUUCAAGAACAAAAUUUUACAGAGGCCACCUCCCUUAUCCCCGACAUAUUUUUCCUGGUCGAAAACAAAAUAUUAUUGCAUCAGUAGACAAGCAUGAUAUAAAAUAUUAUUUCUGGGAAAAAAAUUUAUCUGUGCUUCAACAGUCAACAGUAUGAUGUA